CAUUCCCGAACAGAGAGAUUGAAGGAGGAGAAGGUUGGGCUUCUCCAGGUUCUUCGUCCUUGAACCAAGAGAAAGAGGGAGGAAAAGACGGGUCUUCUUCAGGCUCUUCAUCUGUUCGUUCUCUGUUCUUCAAUCCGAUGAGAGCAAGUUUAAUUAAACCCAAGUUGUACUGUGAUGAAUACCUAAGUUGUUCUACAUGUUUUGAAUAUGAGCAUGAAGGUGGUUACAACACCUGUCCAAACAUCACAAGUGUCCAACCCUCCUGGGGAAACCCAAUUGAGAAGAUCAAAAUUGAAUAUAAGGGGGUCCAUAAAGUCAAAGAGAAUUGAAGAAGAAUCAACUAUUGAUGACUAGAGGAUUAUGACCCAUAGGUAGCUAGGAAAGAUGGUGACACAAUUAGGAGAGCACAAUCUCUGAGAAAUAAAGACAUAAGUAAAAGAGGGGCCAAGAAAUCAAAGGCAGGGAUGAGGGAAAUAGAGACAACUUUUGCUGCAGGUGGUUAUGUGCUAAGGUCCCAGGUAAAAUAGAAUGAUGAGCCAAAAAGAACUAAAGCAAUAGGGGCUGAAAAGAAAAAAAAAUAUGGCUACCCCAAGAGUUAGAUCAUUUGCUGCCUCAACUAACCCACAGAAGAAGGUUUCUUGAAGGAAGAGCAUUUUAAUAUUAGCUUCAGGGAUUUUAUGUUUCUCUUUUUUGGUUUUUUGGUUGGGUGACUUUGUAGCCCUCUCCAGGUGCAAUUUUGUAUGACUAAUGGUAUAUUAAAUCUGCAGAAUGUAUUUAAUCUGCAGGGUUUUGUAAACAUGCAUUUUAAUACAAACAAUUAUGUGGAAUUGAAUACAUUUAGUGAAUAUCAAUGUGCAGUUUAU
Long non-coding RNA from Dioscorea cayenensis subsp. rotundata (Guinea yam), 863 nucleotides. RefSeq lists it as uncharacterized. The record is from RefSeq and is a predicted model, not a curated record. NCBI's taxonomy places the organism in Eukaryota, Viridiplantae, Streptophyta, Magnoliopsida, Dioscoreales, Dioscoreaceae. The transcript is spliced from 3 exons.